UGGAACAUAGGUUAAGUUAAACUGUCGGGUUCAUGUCUCGGUGUUACGGGUUGUUGUUCUUG
RNAcentral lists this transfer RNA (62 nucleotides) under Atractolytocestus huronensis. Its description in RNAcentral is "tRNA-Met". Lineage: Eukaryota; Metazoa; Platyhelminthes; Cestoda; Caryophyllidea; Lytocestidae. The record is from RNAcentral.